UUUAUUUACUGUUUGCUCCUGAAGAGCGUGAUACUAACACCAUCUGUCCUUUUCCUCCCAGGAAAGCUCGUGUAUGAGCGCAUCUUUUCCAUGUGUGUGGAUAACCGCAGUGUCUUACCAGAUCACUUUUCUCCAGAGAAUGCAAAUGACACGGCCAAGGAAACAUGCCUAAAUUGGUUUUUCAAGAUUGCCUCCAUCAGGGAACUCAUUCCAAGAUUUUACGUGGAGGCAUCCAUCCUGAAAUGUAACAAAUUCCUCUCCAAAACGGGAAUUUCAGAGUGCCUGCCCCGGUUGACAUGCAUGAUCAGAGGGAUCGGAGACCCGCUGGUGUCGGUUUAUGCCCGUGCCUACCUGUGCCGGCAGAGGCCAAAGUGUGUAUGCGUCGCCCACUGCUUGAAACCUGGGGGGGAUUUUCCAUCCAGAGAUAUCAGGUGGGAAUGGAAGUGGCCCCACAUCUCAAAGAAACCCUAAAUAAGAACUUUUUUGACUUCCUCCUUACGUUCAAACAGAUUCAUGGGGAUACGGUCCAGAACCAGCUGGUGGUCCAAGGAGUGGAGCUCCCAU
This 564-nucleotide small RNA is filed under the name Pongo abelii (Sumatran orangutan). RNAcentral's name for it is "retained intron". Lineage: Eukaryota; Metazoa; Chordata; Mammalia; Primates; Hominidae. The record is from RNAcentral.